CAGCAGCCGCGGUAAUACCAGCUCCCCGAGUGGUUGGGAUGAUUAUUGGGUCUAAAGCGUUCGUAGCCGGCUAGAAAAGUUUACCGUUAAAUCCAAUGAUUCAAUCAUUGGGCUGCGGUGAAAACUUUUUAGCUUGGGGGCGGGGGAUGUCGGCGGUAGUCCCGGGGUAGGGGCGAAAUCCUAUAAUCCCGGGAGGACCACCAGUGGCGAAGGCGGUCGACAAAAACGCGCCCGACGGUGAGGGACGAAAGCUGGGGGAGCGAUCGGGAUUAGAUACCCCGGUAGUCCCAGCUGUAAACGAUGCAGGCUAGGUGUUGGAGUGGCUACGGGCCGCUCCAGUGCCGCAGGGAAGCUGUUAAGCCUGCCACCUGGGAAGUACGGUCGCAAGGCUGAAAUCUUUGGGAGAAUUAUCAUUAUAGUUUAUCAUAUAAUAUUUCCCAGAGACAGUAAACUUAAAGGAAUUGGCGGGGGAGCACCACAAGGGGUGAAGCCUGCGGUUUAAUUGGAGUCAACCCCGGGAAUCUCACCAGGAGUGACAGCGGGAUGAAGAUCAGAUUAAAGGUCUUAUCGUACUAGCUGAGAGGUGGUGCAUGGCCGUCGACAGUUCGUGCCGUGAGGUGUUCUCUUAAGUGAGAUAACGAACGAGACCCGCGCUACCAGUUGCCAGCAGAUUCCAUUUGGUUUCUGGGUACACUGGUAGGACUGCCUCCGCUAAGGGGGAGGAANGAGCGGGCAACGGCAGGUCCAGU
RNAcentral lists this ribosomal RNA (749 nucleotides) under uncultured archaeon. RNAcentral describes it as "bacterial SSU rRNA". It matches the Rfam family "Archaeal small subunit ribosomal RNA", at positions 459 to 1150 of the family's 1478-position model. The record is from RNAcentral.